UCUCAGCUUGUGUCUUGCCAGCCAGUGCGGGAUGGUGCCUCUGUUCAGACUGCUGAUGGACCGUCAGAGCAAGAGGGUCAUUGGAACUGGCCAUCGCCGUAGAGGAUCCACAUCCCUCUACAUCCUUGACACCUUACACCUUCCUUCAGCUUCCACCACAUCCGCGUUCCGGAUGGCUGCAUCAACAUCAAGAUCCACUUCGUCGUUUUCUUUUGCCCAGUGGCACCAUCGCUUAGGUCACUUGUGUGGUUCACGUUUAUCUACCCUUCUUCGACAAGGUGUUUUGGGUCAUGUUUCCAUAGAUGCUGGUUUUCACUGUAAGGGUUGUAAGCUAGGGAAACAAAUACAGCUUCCAUACUCUUCCAGCACUACUCAUUCUAGUCAUCCUUUUGAUUUAGUGCACUCUGAUGUAUGGGGUCCUUCCCCCUUUGUUUCGAAAGGUGGCCACAAACAUUAUGUCAUAUUUGUUGAUGAUCACUCUCGACAUACUUGGGUCUAUUUUAUGAAGCAUCGUUCUGAGUUGUUUUCUA
Molecule: non-coding RNA, 530 nt
Organism: Aegilops tauschii subsp. strangulata
Lineage: Eukaryota; Viridiplantae; Streptophyta; Magnoliopsida; Poales; Poaceae
Source: RefSeq, a predicted model, not a curated record